Macadamia integrifolia is the source of this 1830-nucleotide long non-coding RNA. RefSeq lists it as uncharacterized. The transcript is spliced from 2 exons. The record is from RefSeq and is a predicted model, not a curated record. Lineage: Eukaryota; Viridiplantae; Streptophyta; Magnoliopsida; Proteales; Proteaceae.
GAAAUUUCUUGUUGUAGCAAGGAGAGAAUGAGGAGAAGAAAAAGAAGAAAGAAGGCAAGAAGAAGAAGGAGAAGGAAAGAGAAAGGGAGCUCGCACUUGCUUUUUGGGAUCAGCUGAUCCUAACUACACAGUAAUGGAGACACUAAUGAGCUACCAGGUUCUAGCACAAAGUGUGAUACCCUACUUUCUAAACCUGGUUUAUUUACCCGAUUGGUUCGGUUUGGUCGUGUAGGGUUUGAACCCGAUCGAGUUGAGAUGGGUACCCUGUGGAACAUGAUGGCAAGAGUGACUCUAAACUUGGGUUGGUCAAGCGAAUCUAAACCAGUGCCUAGUGAAGUCCGCGUACCAAUCUGUGUACUUGCACAUAUCACAAGGCUAUGUACUGACAAUAGAGGUACGUAGCCGUAUUUUAUGAUGAGAACGUAUUAUAAAUCAUAUAUCGGGAGUGAGACAUAUGUCGGGAGCUGAGUCCCGUCGAAAUCCCAAUUAAUUGGCUAAGUUUUGGCUAACUGAUGGGUGGUCAUAGGUGGGUUGGAUCCACCAGUGUGACCUACCAAUCUGGUCAUUAGAUAUUUUGACCUAGGUUAAAUAGCAAUUAUUACUCUUCUUUUCCAUCAUUUAAUGUUUUACAAGGUGUGUGCGAAGAGUAAAGAAAAGAGAAAAAAAAGGAAAAAAAAAAGGGAGGAAGAAGAGGAAGAAAUGCUCAUGGUGCGACGCCAAGGUUAGAUUUUUCCAUUUCGCCACCGAAAAAGUGAUCCUCGUCUUGAGAUCUACAAUUUGAGGUGAGUGAAGGCUAUAUUUCUUCAACCCUCAAGAAACCCUAAGUGAAACCCUUUGAUUUGGGUAGAAAUCCUUUAGAUCUUGUUAAUCCCACUUAAGAAAAUAAAUCUAAGGUUUAAUGGAAGACCUACAUGUUAAUUUUUGAAGGUUUAGGUGAAGAAAUUGCAAGAUUUGAAGAUCAAUUGAUGAUUUCUUGAGUUGAAGAAGAGAUUGGAAGUUUUGAAGGUGUUCUUGAGCAAAGAGGUAAGAUCGGUGCGUGAAACUUUGAAUCGACCCUAGAUCUAGGUUAGAAUCACAAUAUGGGACCUUUAGAUGUGUGAAAAAUGAGGUCGAAUCGAACCCUUGUGGUUUCCCCAAGGUGGGAUGAAGAAUGGAAGUGAACAGCAUAAUUCCGAUUCUGAUUGGUGGGUGCCUUAGGAAGUGAUAGACCCACCAAUCCGGAGCCCUCCUAUCCUGGUUGGGUUUCUAGCCCGAUCAAAGGGUAAGGACUGGUAGGCACUUGGCCCACCGCUCCUGGCCUGUCGGUCCUAACAGAGCUCCUAGGACGAGCUGUGGGAAAAGACUAAUGGGUAAAUUUGCCCGCCACUCCCAGCCCAUCGGUCCUGAUAGAGACCAUAGCCCAACCAGCAGGUAAUGACCGACGAGCACCUGGCCCACCGGUUGACCUACCAAUGAGGCCUAUCGGACUUCGAUGGUGUUUAAAUUUUUUGGGCAACCUUCUUUUGCGAUUUUAAAUGCGCUUUGAAUAUCAUACUUCAUUGAUUUUGACCUGAAAGUGGCGAAAUGCUAAACUUACUUGCUUAUGAUAGGUUCUACUAGGAACUCGCGUCUUCUCAUGAUAGAUCUCCCUCGUACCGGGCAUGAGCUAUUAUACAUAAUAGGUAAGUGGGGAGAGGAUGUUGACUUUAUUUUUGGAGUGUUUUUACAUCAUUCCAUUAUUGUUGUUGAUUAGCCAUGUCAUCAUUUUAUUACUGUGUGUAGACUAGCCAACCAUGAAUGCCAUUUGCAUGCAUUGUCUUAUGCAUUAUGAAACUCGUUUAUGAUUUGUUA